GGCGCACGGGUGAGUAACGCGUGGGUAACCUACCCUGGAGUGGGGUAUAACUCGCCGAAAGGCGGGCUAAUCCCGCAUACGUCCGGCAGACCCAAGUCUGUCGGAGAAAGAUGGCCUCUGCUUGCAAGCUAUUGCUCUUGGAUGGGCCCGCGUUAGAUUAGCUAGUUGGUGAGGUAACUGCUCACCAAGGCUACGAUCUAUAGCUGGUUUGAGAGGACGACCAGCCACACUGGAACUGAGACACGGUCCAGACUCCUACGGGAGGCAGCAGUGAGGAAUAUUGCGCAAUGGGGGAAACCCUGACGCAGCGACGCCGCGUGAGUGAUGAAGGCCUUCGGGUUGUAAAGCUCUGUCAGAGGGAAAGAAAGGGGAUGCGGAAUAAUACCCGCAGCCAUUGACGGUACCCUCGGAGGAAGCACCGGCUAACUCCGUGCCAGCAGCCGCGGUAAUACGGAGGGUGCAAGUGUUAUUCGGAAUCACUGGGCGUAAAGAGCACGUAGGCGGAUGGGUAAGUCA
This 516-nucleotide ribosomal RNA is filed under the name uncultured Pseudomonadota bacterium. Its description in RNAcentral is "bacterial SSU rRNA". It matches the Rfam family "Bacterial small subunit ribosomal RNA", at positions 97 to 590 of the family's 1533-position model. The record is from RNAcentral. Lineage: Bacteria; Pseudomonadati; Pseudomonadota.